This is a long non-coding RNA of Anolis carolinensis (green anole), 1404 nucleotides long. RefSeq lists it as uncharacterized. The transcript has 2 exons. The record is from RefSeq and is a predicted model, not a curated record. Lineage: Eukaryota; Metazoa; Chordata; Lepidosauria; Squamata; Anolidae.
AGGCCAAGGUCAUCAGCAUAUAUAAAGCUCUUUGUGGGUGGUGGUUGUAGCUGAUCGUUUGUGAAGAUGUUAAACAAGGUCGGUGCAAGAACGCUGCCUUGAGGUAAACCAUUUUUUUUUGCCUCCUCCAUCUACAUUUCCUGCCUGAAACUCCACAUAGAAGCUGCGGCUUUCCAGGAGGGUCUGGACACUUUUUGUAAAGUCAAAGUCCUGGAUGAUAUGGUAGACUUUAUGCAGCAUUUUUCUAUGUUGCGCCGUGUCAUAGGCUACAGUAUUAAUACAAUGCCGUAUUAAUACAAUGCCGUAUUAAUACAAUGGUGUCAGUCCAGAUAAACGAAAGAUGCUUUGGAAGUUGGCCACCUCAAAGGAAGCCCUAGGUGAAGAUCUGGUUGGGGACAAGGAUGAAAGCCUCCCAGGAAUAAAUUUGAUCAAAUGCAGUAGGAAAAGGAAGAGGAGACUGAGGCUCUUGCACAAACACAUUGUGUGAUCUCCAAGUCUUCCUGGGGCAUCGUGAAGGGAUUAUGAUAAUUACAAGAUCAUAUCCUGAAGUCUAAGGUGAGGUGAGGCAACAUUCCAGGGUUCAAAAAGAAACAAGGAGUUCUUCAAAACCAAAGGAAGACAAAGCGCAUGAAACUGAAUAAUAUGGGCAGUGUGGACUCUUAUAAUGCCGUUUAACUUUUAAUGUAGAUGGGGUCUUCAACUCAGAGGAAGGCAUUGGCUACUCCUCUCUCAAUAAGUCUUAAGAGUGUCAGGAAAUGAUGUUGAUGUUUUCCUCUACUAAUUCUCUCAUGGCGUAUCUAAUGUUGUUGAGCCAUUAAAGCCAAAUGGAUUUGUGUUUUGGAACAAUGGGCAAUGAAAACAUGAGUGGUAUGCAUUGUUCCAGCCAAAGUAAAGAGAGAUAUUUAUAAACUGGGCAACUUCUAUGUCAUCAGUUGUAGGAUGACGUGUGCUUCCAGUUUUCCCAUUAGUCCAUAUUGCAUUCUUUUUUGGCAAGCACCGUAUAAAAGGACCACCCAGGUCCCCAACCAUAACCAUCACAGACCUUUGGCUUCUUGGCUUUGCUUCUUCAUUUCCCAGAGUUUGGAGAUCUGAUCCAUCAUACACCAUGAGGGCUCUCUACCUUGCCGUGGUUAUCAUGAUGUUGCUUGCCACUGCUAUGAAUGUUGAAGGAUUUAAAUAUAAGCCAAGCUGUUCUGUAGAUGGAGGCCGAUGUGCCAAAUAUUGUGAGAAGACUGAAUAUGCCUCCUAUGUCCAUAAUUGCCCUCUCUGCUGUUUUAAGUACAAGAAGGAUGACUAAAAAGGGAGGAUGCCACUGAGAUGGGCCAAGAGGAUGUGGCCCAUUGCUUAGCUACCAAGAAGGCAUCAUGUUUGAUCUCCUUCAAUAAAUGCAAGAAGAAAAAUGCU